AUGAGUGCUCAUCUCUACAACUAAAUUAGAAUAGACCAGAAUGACUGUUACCGUCUAAACUGCAAGCACAUUUCUGUGCCAGGAAAUUCAAAGCUUAUAGAAAUCUCCAAUGAAAUGGGCAGAUUGAUAAUCUGUGUGAGUACCAACCUGAAGUCAGAGUAAGUCUUAUCUUUUAAUACUGUACAUGCUAGUAUUUCUCAGCUAUCACAUAUCCAUAUCCCAGUAAACAGGCUACUGAACACCAGGACACAUUAACCUCGGCUUACAGGUUGGAUUUGAACAGAAACAAUUAUUGCAAGACAUGACAGAUUUUCCUGCAUUCUGAGGUUUAGAGAGGGCUUGAAGUAAUUUUGAUUCAUUUCUUUUGGGAAAGAGAGUGCAAAGUGAAGCAAAACUAAAAGCACGUGGAAAUAAACAUUCCAAUAGAAAUGACUGGAUUCCAGAUGGCAUAGCAUUAGGAGUUCUCCAAAUAAAGAGAAGAAGAAGACAAAAUAUUCAAGUUCAUUGCUGGUUUCCUGGACUAAUAAAUCUACUACAUCAUUAAUAUCUCUCUUA
This is a long non-coding RNA of Pseudopipra pipra, 555 nucleotides long. RefSeq lists it as uncharacterized. The transcript has 2 exons. The record is from RefSeq and is a predicted model, not a curated record. NCBI's taxonomy places the organism in Eukaryota, Metazoa, Chordata, Aves, Passeriformes, Pipridae.